Long non-coding RNA from Armigeres subalbatus, 393 nucleotides. RefSeq lists it as uncharacterized. Lineage: Eukaryota; Metazoa; Arthropoda; Insecta; Diptera; Culicidae. The transcript has 2 exons. The record is from RefSeq and is a predicted model, not a curated record.
UGUAUGUAAAAAUAUGGGAAUACGUGAACAUUGCACCGAAAAAAACAGUGUGGAAUAUGUAAGAACAAGGUAAACGACAUCUCCAUUCCAUCAGACAUUCCCGGUUCAACUGGCUAUCAGUCUAUCAGUAGCUUACCUGCUUUACUUCGUUUACAUUCAUCAGUCAUGUUGUUUAAAAUGCACUUUAAAAUAGGCUUUAGGUGGAACAUCAUUUUAUUCAACUCAUGUCUGGUACAACUUCACUGUUAGAUGGAUUAUUAUCUGGUGCAAUACACUCAGCUGCAAUGUCGUCAGUAUGCUCUGGAUUCGCCGAGAUAGGUUCAGCAGUUUCCACAACUCGUUUCGCAUCUCCAAUGUUGCGGGAAUAUACUACGCCUUGGUCACUCCGAACAA